Molecule: long non-coding RNA, 475 nt
Organism: Nicotiana tabacum (common tobacco)
Lineage: Eukaryota; Viridiplantae; Streptophyta; Magnoliopsida; Solanales; Solanaceae
Source: RefSeq, a predicted model, not a curated record
ACUAAUAUAGUAAAAUCAUCAUCCUCUUUGCCGUGUGCCUACAAUUGAAUUCCGAAUACACAAACGAAGAGAUGCCGUCAAUCCUCAAAAUCUGUUGGUAAUCCAUCUGACUCAUUGCCUCUCUGACACUCAUACUUGUCACCCUCUUUUACCCAAUCUCACUAAAAGCAAAAACCCUAGAAAACCCUCAAUCCUAUUAUUCCCAAACGAAGGAGAAACGACUGAGAGAUCUAGUGUCAAAUAUAGGACAACAAAUGUUCUUUUUCCUGUUUUCCCCUUCCUCUGCCACAACACAAUGAGAGAUUCAGGAAUUUGGCUAUUGCUUGCUCGUGGAGAGUGUUAACCGUGUAAGAAGAAUCUUUCUCUGUUCCAGUUAUUGCUCUUGUUGAAAAGUUUAUCCAUCUUUAAAGUGAUUUAGGCCUUGUCCCGGAUGAAACUUAUAUUACUAAUUCAUUUUCCUUUGAUUUGUCUUUAA